RNAcentral lists this ribosomal RNA (253 nucleotides) under uncultured bacterium. RNAcentral's name for it is "partial 16S ribosomal RNA". It matches the Rfam family "Bacterial small subunit ribosomal RNA", at positions 524 to 776 of the family's 1533-position model. The record is from RNAcentral.
UACGGGGGGAGCAAGCGUUGUUCGGAAUCACUGGGCGUAACGGGCGUGUAGGCGGUUCGGUAAGUGAAAUGUGAAAUGCCCCGGCUCACCCGGUGACCUGCAUCUCAAACUGCCGGACUAGAGUAUGGGAGAGGAUGAGGGAAUUCCUGGUGUAGCGGUGAAAUGCGUAGAUAUCAGGAGGAACACCGGUGGCGAAAGCGCUCAUCUAGCCCAAUACUGACGCUGAGGCGCGAAAGCUAGGGGAGCAAACGGG